This 392-nucleotide ribosomal RNA is filed under the name uncultured bacterium. RNAcentral describes it as "bacterial SSU rRNA". It matches the Rfam family "Bacterial small subunit ribosomal RNA", at positions 29 to 409 of the family's 1533-position model. The record is from RNAcentral.
AGCGAACGCUGGCGGCGUGCUUAACACAUGCAAGUCGAACGUGAAAUGUAGCAAUACAGAGUAAAGUGGCGUACGGGUGAGUAACACGUGGGUAAUCUACCAAAGUGUCUGGAAUAACCGACCGAAAGGUUGGCUAAUACUGGAUAGUUCAAGCUUGUUAUAAUGGCAAGAUUGGGAAAGGGAGCUGGCAACAGCCUUCGCAUUUUGAUGAGCUCGCGUCUGAUUAGCUAGUUGGUAAGGUAAUGGCUUACCAAGGCUGAGAUCAGUAGCUGGUCUGAGAGGAUGAUCAGCCACACUGGAACUGAAACACGGUCCAGACUCCUACGGGAGGCAGCAGUGGGGAAUCUUGCGCAAUGGACGAAAGUCUGACGCAGCCACGCCGCGUGAGUGAA